AACUCUUAACGGGGGAUCACUCGGCUCGUGGGUCGAUGAAGACCGCAGGAAACUGCGUGUCGGUAUGUGAAUAGCAAGAAUACCAGAUACAUCGACAAGUUGAACGCAUAUUGCGGCGGCGGCGGCAGCCAUAUGAGCUUGUCGCCGCCACUCCUCUACGAGGGUCG
Homarus americanus (American lobster) is the source of this 167-nucleotide ribosomal RNA. RefSeq annotates it as 5.8S ribosomal RNA. The record is from RefSeq and is a predicted model, not a curated record. Lineage: Eukaryota; Metazoa; Arthropoda; Malacostraca; Decapoda; Nephropidae. The transcript has a single exon.